CGCUGGCGGCGUGGAUAAACAUGCAAGUCGAGCGAGAUUUUUUCCUGUAGCAAUACAGGGAAAAGUCUAGCGGCGAACGGGUGCUUAACACGUGGGCAAUCUGUCUUAAAGUGGGGGAUAGCUCGGCGAAAGCCGAAUUAAUACCGCAUGUGAUUAGAGUGGACAUCCAUUCAAAAUUAAAGGUGGCGCAAGCUACCGCUUUUUGAGGAGCCCGCGGCCUAUCAGCUAGUUGGUGAGGUAACGGCUCACCAAGGCUUUGACGGGUAGCUGGUCUGAGAGGACGACCAGCCACACUGGGACUGAGACACGGCCCAGACACCUACGGGUGGCAGCAGUCGAGAAUUUUUCUCAAUGGGGGAAACCCUGAAGGAGCGACGCCGCGUGGAGGAUGAAGGUCUUCGGAUUGUAAACUCCUGUCAUUGGGGAACAAGUCGCUUACGUUAACUGCGUGAGCGUNGAUAGUACCCGAAGAGGAAGAGACGGCUAACUCUGUGCCAGCAGCCGCGGUAAUACAGAGGUCUCAAGCGUNGUUCG
This 534-nucleotide ribosomal RNA is filed under the name uncultured bacterium. RNAcentral's name for it is "bacterial SSU rRNA". It matches the Rfam family "Bacterial small subunit ribosomal RNA", at positions 34 to 547 of the family's 1533-position model. The record is from RNAcentral.